This is a non-coding RNA of Bacteroidetes bacterium oral taxon 272, 380 nucleotides long. NCBI's taxonomy places the organism in Bacteria, Pseudomonadati, Bacteroidota. The record is from Rfam.
ACAGUUGGCCAGUCUACCGCUGAUACAUAAGUAGAAGAGGAAAGUCCGGGCAACACAGAGCAUCCUACUUCCUAACAGAAAGCUAUCAGUGAUGGUAGAGUCGUGUAGAAGAAAACAACCGCUUCGUUUUAUUCCCGGUUUGCCGUGAAUACUGCAAAGUAAGGGUGAGAAGGUGAGGUAAGAGCUUACCAGCCGUGUGGCGACAUAUCGGGCUGUACAUCUUAGGAGUUGUAAGGUCAUGUAUACCGGCGUCAAUGAGGGCUGCUCGUCCCAUGCCGGAGGGUAGACCGCUUGAGCCUGAUGGUGACAUCGGGUGUAGAUAAAUGGUAGAUGCUUCUUUCGGGAAGACACAGAACCCGGCUUAUCGGCCAACUGUUUUU